CAGGCCGAAAGUGAGGUGAGCUCCCCGGAAGUAUGCAGUGUAACGUCCUGGGACUCCUUCUAAGACAGGCGGAGGGGGAGUAUAUAGAAGAACGCAGGGGUCUGUACAAGGACGUGAUGAUGGAGAAUCACCGGCCCCUCACAUCACUGGAUGGGCCCAGUAACAGAGAUACCCCAGAGAGAUGUCCCCGUCCUCUGUAUUCCCAGGAAUGUACAGAGGAGAAUCACAGCAUCCCACAGGAGGAUCAGGCAGAAGAAGCAAAGCGGGAAUAGAUGUAUGCAACUGAUGUAAAGGUAGAAGAUAUGGAGGGAGAAGAAGAGACGUAUGUUACUGAUAUGAAGGUAGAAGAUACAGAGGUAAAAGAAGAGACAUAUGUGAGGGUUGACCAGCAGUGUAAGGAGGAGGCAAUCCCUACAGAUAUCAGCACAGCAGUUGGAGGCACAAGCCAGAAGACCUCAUAGGGAGAUCUCAUCUUGUCUGCAGAUAUUAAAAUAGAAGAUAACUUCACACAGGAUUCUCCAGGAGACAGCCCCAUUACUCUAAAUAUCCAUUCUGUACCUCACUGUGCAGAUAUAUCAUCUGAUCCCUCUAAUCAUGGGGAAUGUUCUCCUGAUAACUCAGAUGUUGCUACACAUAGUGCUGCUCUUGCAGCUGAUUCAGUCUUUACUUGUUCUGAAUGUGGUAAAAGUUUUGUACGUCAGUCAGUGUUUGUUAUACAUCAGAGGUAUCACCCAGGUGAGAGGCCGUUUCCAUGUUCUGAGUGUGGGAAGUGUUUUUUUCAGAAGUCACAUCUUGUUAUGCAUCAGAGAAGUCACACAGGUGAAAAACCAUUUCCGUGUUCUGAGUGUGGGAAAUGUUUUUCACAGAAAUCAGAUGUUAUUAAACAUGAGAGAAGUCACACAGGUGAGAGGCAAUUUCCAUGUCCAGAAUGUGACAAGUGUUUUGUAAAUAAAUCAAAUCUUGUUGUACAUCAGAAAAGUCAUGCAGGUGAGAAGCCAUUUCCAUGUCCGGAAUGUGGCAAGUGUUUUUCUCGUAAAUCAAAUCUUGUUGUACAUCAGAAAAGUCACACAUGAGAGACUAUUUCCAUGUUCUGAGUGUUGGAAAUGUUUUACAGAGAAAGUACUUAUUAGACAUCAGAGGAGUCACACAGGUGAGAGUCUGUUUCCAUGUUCUGAGUGUUGGAAAUGUUUUACAGAAUAAUCAGCACUUAUUAGACAUCAGAGAAGUCACACAGGUGAUAGGCCAUUUCCAUGUUCUGAGUGUGGGAAAUGUUUCACAGAUUAAUCAUUUCUUAUUAUACAUCAGAGAAGUCACCCAGGUGAGAGGCCAUUUCCAUGUUCUGAGUGUGGGAAAUGUUUUACAUAUAAAUCAAAUCUUGUUACACAUCAGAGAUGUCACACGGGCGAGAAGCCAUUUCCAUGCUCUGAGUGGGAAAUGUUUUACACAGAAAUCAAAUAUUGCUACACAUCAGAGAAGUCACACAGGUGAGAGGCCAUUUCCAUGUUCUAAGUGUGGGAAACAGUUUACAUAUGUAUCAAGUCUUGUUGCACAUGAGAAAAUUCACAGUGGUGAGAGGCCAUAUCCGUGUUCUGAGUGUGGGAAAUGUUUUACACAGAAAUCAGAUCUAGUUAAACAUGAGAGAAGUCACACAGGUGUGUAACUAUAUCCAUGUACUGAGGACCAACUUUGUAUGUAAAUCCUAUGGUUUUAGUACUAGUCUGCUUCGUUGGACACAGACUUCUUGGACCCGGUUGUCUAGAUCCGAUGGCCAUUCUGAGUAAGAUGCAGUUUAUGCAGACUAGCCAAGGUCUGCUACCAUCAGAAGUCGCUGAUCCGAUGCCGCUUCCUCAGACGUAGCCCACAGUCCUCCUGCUGCUUUCUAUUUGUAUGGUUUUGGACAGCUGCUUCCCGGCGUCUGUGCAUUUCCUUACAGAUCGACAUCAGGCCCUCAGUGCACAAUAUACUUUACACUGAAGUCAUAUCUUGUUACACACCAGAAAAUCCACAAGGAGAACUGAUUGGCAUGUGGGGAUGUCUGAGUGGUAUUAGUUUAUAUAUGAGAGGAAUGUACAUAGGACUGAAUGGCACUUGUGGAGCUUUUCAGUACUUGUGAGAUCUGAUGGGGUAUUUUAUGGCAUUUUGGAGCAAGUGAGGGGCAAUUUGGGAUGAAUGAUGUCGGCUGGCCCUGCAUUGGUUUUUUCCUCUUUUCUUUUCUGAAAUUUAGACCUCUGUGUGUUCCUUUAGGAUGUCGUAGGGCUGCACUUUCUGCAUUUUUAGCCGGAUGUGUACGCAGAAAAUUCUAAAAAUUGAGAGUCAUGAUAAAGUCUAUGUGAAGCAUACACGUAUCAGGUGUAACAUUAGACCCACCUGCCUAAUAUUGUGCAUCUCCCUGUUAUGCCACCAUAAGGCAUGGCUUCCAUAAGACCUCUGAAGGUGUUCUGAAGGAUCUGGAACCAAGAUGUCAUUAUCAGAUCCUUUAAGUCUUGUAAGCUGUGAGGUGGGGCCUCCAUGGCUCAAAAAGAUGCUCAUUGCCAGAGCAUCUAGCUGCCUCCAGGGGUUGCCUUCCCAUCUUGAAACCAUCCCCUCCAUAAGUGAAUGAUGCACCCGCCGUCCAAAUAUUUUAAAUUUUGCAAAUAUUAUAUUCUAAAUUAUAAAUAUAUUAGAUUAAAUUAUAAAUGUGGCAAAUAUUUAAAAUAUUGCAUUACUUUCAAAGAUGUAAGCUGCAGUGUGGGGCGGUGAUAUUAGUGUGCGAUGUACAUAAUGAGAGUAUGAUGCAGGAAAUGCAUCCUGAGGAAUGUGCAGGUCUGCACUGAAACGUGUCAACUUCCCCUAAAUUGUCCACACAAUGGCAGCAAUUGUUUUAUUCAGUACAAAGUUCUUCCAUCAGGAUCUAUCAUCACUGUCUUCAGCGUCAUUGAGUAACCUGCGACAGAGUAAUACAGUAGCUGUGUAUAACACCUAAUCCAGCCGUCUCUGCUACCGGUGUACAUGUAAUACAGACGCAGCGUCACUGAGUAACCUGUACCAGAGUAAUAGCUGUGUAUAACACCUAAUCCAGCCGCCUCUGCUACCGGUGUACAUGUAAUACAGACGCAGCGUCACUGAGUUACCUGUACCAGAGUAAUAGCUGUGUAUAACACCUAAUCCAGCUGUCUCUGCUACCGGUGUACAUGUAAUACAGACGCAGUGUCACUGAGUAACCUGCACCAGAGUAAUAGCUGUGUAUAACACCUAAUCCAGCCGUCUCUGCUACCGGUGUACAUGUAAUACAGACGCAGUGUCACUGAGUAACCUGCUCCAGAGUAAUAGCUGUGUAUAACACCUAAUCCUGACAUCUCUGCUACCGGUGUGCAUGUAAUACAGACGCAGCGUCACUGAGUAACCUGCACCAGAGUAAUAGCUGUGUAUAACACCUAAUCCAAACGUCUCUGCUACCGGUGUACAUGUAAUACAGACGCAGCGUCACUGAGUAACCUGCACCAGAGUAAUAGCUGUGUAUAACACCUAAUCCAGCCAUCUCUGCUACCGGUGUACAUGUAAUACAGACACAGUGUCACUGAGUAACCUGCUCCAGAAUAAUAGCUGUGUAUAACACCUAAUCCAGCCGUCUCUGCUACCGGUGUACAUGUAAUACAGACACAGCGUCACUGAGUAACCUGCACCAGAGUAAUAGCUGUGUAUAACACCUAAUCCAGCCGUCUCUGCUACCGGUGUACAUGUAAUACAGACACAGUGUCACUGAGUAACCUGCUCCAGAAUAAUAGCUGUGUAUAACACCUAAUCCAGCCGUCUCUGCUACCGGUGUACAUGUAAUACAGACGCAGCAUCACUGAGUAACCUGCACCAGAGUAAUAGCUGUGUAUAACACCUAAUCCAGCCGUCUCUGCUACCGGUGUACAUGUAAUACAGACACAGUGUCACUGAGUAACCUGCUCCAGAAUAAUAGCUGUGUAUAACACCUAAUCCAGCCGUCUCUGCUACCGGUGUACAUGUAAUACAGACGCAGCAUCACUGAGUAACCUGCGCCAGAGUAAUAGCUGUGUAUAACACCUAAUCCAGCCGUCUCUGCUACCGGUGUACAUGUAAUACAGACACAGUGUCACUGAGUAACCUGCUCCAGAAUAAUAGCUGUGUAUAACACCUAAUCCAGCCGUCUCUGCUACCGGUGUACAUGUAAUACAGACGCAGCGUCACUGAGUAACCUGCACCAGAGUAAUAGCUGUGUAUAACACCUAAUCCAGCUGUCUCUGCUACCGCUGUACAUGUAAUACAGAUGCAGCGUCACUGAGUAACCUGCACCAGAGUAAUAGCUGUGUAUAACACCUAAUCCAGCCGUCUCUGCUACCGGUGUACAUGUAAUACAGACGCAGCGUCACUGAGUAACCUGCACCAGAGUAAUAGCUGUGUAUAACACCUAAUCCAGCCGUCUCUGCUACCGGUGUACAUGUAAUACAGACGCAGCAUCACUGAGUAACCUGCUCCAGAGUAAUAGCUGUGUAUAACACCUAAUCCAGCCGUCUCUGCUACCGGUGUACAUGUAAUACAGACGCAGCAUCACUGAGUAACCUGCGCCAGAGUAAUAGCUGUGUAUAACCCCUAAUCCAGCUGUCUCUGCUACCGGUGUACAUGUAAUACAGACGCAGCGUCACUGAGUAACCUGCACCAGAGUAAUAGCUGUGUAUGACACCUAAUCCAGCUGUCUCUCUGCUACCGGUGUACAUGUAAUACAGACGCAGCAUCACUGAGUAACCUGCACCAGAGUAACACCUGUGUAUAACACCUAAUCCAGCCGUCUCUGCUACCGGUGUACAUGUAAUACAGACGCAGCAUCACUGAGUAACCUGUGCCAGAGUAAUAGCUGUGUAUAACACCUAAUCCAGCCGUCUCUGCUACCGGUGUACAUGUAAUACAGACUCAGCAUCACUGAGUAACCUGCACCACAAUAAUAGCUGUGUAUAAAAUCUAAUCCAGCUGUCUCUGCUACCGGUGUACAUGUAAUACAGACGCAGCGUCACUGAGUAACCUGCACCAGAGUAAUAGCUGUGUAUAACAUCUAAUCCAGCUGUCUCUGCUACCGGUGUACAUGUAAUACAGACGCAGCGUCACUGAGUAACCUGCACCAGAGUAAUAGCUGUGUAUAACACCUAAUCCAGCCGUCUCUGCUACCGGUGUACAUGUAAUACAGACGCAGCAUCACUGAAUAACCUGCGCCAGAGUAAUAGCUGUGUAUAACACCUAAUCCAGCCGUCUCUGCUACCGGUGUACAUGUAAUACAGAAGCAGCGUCACUGAGUAACCUGCACCAGAGUAAUAGCUGUGUAUAACACCUAAUCCAGCCGUCUCUGCUACCGGUGUACAUGUAAUACAGACGCAGCGUCACUGAGUAACCUGCACCAGAGUAAUAGCUGUGUAUAACAUCUAAUCCAGCUGUCUCUGCUACCGGUGUACAUGUAAUACAGACGCAGCGUCACUGAGUAACCUGCACCAGAGUAAUAGCUGUGUAUAACACCUAAUCCAGCCGUCUCUGCUACCGGUGUACAUGUAAUACAGACGCAGCAUCACUGAAUAACCUGCGCCAGAGUAAUAGCUGUGUAUAACACCUAAUCCAGCCGUCUCUGCUACCGGUGUACAUGUAAUACAGACGCAGCAUCACUGAGUAACCUGCACCAGAGUAAUAGCUGUGUAUAACACCUAAUCCAGCCAUCUCUGCUACCGGUGUACAUGUAAUACAGACGCAGCAUCACUGAGUAACCUGCACCAGAGUAAUAGCUGUGUAUAACACCUAAUCCAGCCAUCUCUGCUACCGGUGUACAUGUAAUACAGACGCAGCAUCACUGAGUAACCUGUGCCAGAGUAAUAGCUGUGUAUAACACCUAAUCCAGCCGUCUCUGCUACCGGUGUACAUGUAAUACAGACUCAGCAUCACUGAGUAACCUGCACCACAAUAAUAGCUGUGUAUAAAAUCUAAUCCAGCUGUCUCUGCUACCGGUGUACAUGUAAUACAGACGCAGCGUCACUGAGUAACCUGCACCAGAGUAAUAGCUGUGUAUAACACCUAAUCCAGCCAUCUCUGCUACCGGUGUACAUGUAAUACAGACGCAGCGUCACUGAGUAACCUGCACCAGAGUAAUAGCUGUGUAUAACAUCUAAUCCAGCUGUCUCUGCUACCGGUGUACAUGUAAUACAGACGCAGCGUCACUGAGUAACCUGCACCAGAGUAAUAGCUGUGUAUAACACCUAAUCCAGCCGUCUCUGCUACCGGUGUACAUGUAAUACAGACUCAGCAUCACUGAAUAACCUGCGCCAGAGUAAUAGCUGUGUAUAACACCUAAUCCAGCCGUCUCUGCUACCGGUGUACAUGUAAUACAGACGCAGCGUCACUGAGUAACCUGCACCAGAGUAAUAGCUGUGUAUAACACCUAAUCCAGCCGUCUCUGCUACCGGUGUACAUGUAAUACAGACGCAGCGUCACUGAGUAACCUGCACCAGAGUAAUAGCUGUGUAUAACAUCUAAUCCAGCUGUCUCUGCUACCGGUGUACAUGUAAUACAGACGCAGCGUCACUGAGUAACCUGCACCAGAGUAAUAGCUGUGUAUAACACCUAAUCCAGCCGUCUCUGCUACCGGUGUACAUGUAAUACAGACGCAGCAUCACUGAAUAACCUGCGCCAGAGUAAUAGCUGUGUAUAACACCUAAUCCAGCCGUCUCUGCUACCGGUGUACAUGUAAUACAGACGCAGCGUCACUGAGUAACCUGCACCAGAGUAAUAGCUGUGUAUAACACCUAAUCCAGCCGUCUCUGCUACCGGUGUACAUGUAAUACAGACGCAGCAUCACUGAGUAACCUGCACCAGAGUAAUAGCUGUGUAUAACACCUAAUCCAGCCGUCUCUGCUACCGAUGUACAUGUAAUACAGACUCAGCGUCACUACGUGACCUGUACCAGAGUAAUAGCUGUGUAUAACACCUAAUCCAGCCAUCUCUGCUACCGGUGUACAUGUAAUACAGACGCAGCAUCACUGAGUAACCUGCUCCAGAGUAAUAGCUGUGUAUAACACCUAAUCCAGCCGUCUCUGCUACCGGUGUACAUGUAAUACAGACGCAGCGUCACUGAGUAACCUGCACCAGAGUAAUAGCUGUGUAUAACACCUAAUCCAGCCGUCUCUGCUACCGGUGUACAUGUAAUACAGACGCAGCAUCACUGAGUAACCUGCACCAGAGUAAUAGCUGUGUAUAACACCUAAUCCAGCCGUCUGUUACCGGUGUACAUGUAAUACAGACGCAGCAUCACUGAGUAACCUGCACCAGAGUAAUAGCUGUGUAUAACACCUAAUCCAGCCGUCUCUGCUACCGGUGUACAUGUAAUACAGACGCAGCGUCACUGAGUAACCUGCACCAGAGAGUAAUAGCUGUGUAUAACACCUAAACCAGCCAUCUCUGCUACCGCUGUACAUGUAAUACAGACGCAGCAUCACUGAGUAACCUGCACCAGAGUAAUAGCUGUGUAUAACACCUAAUCCAGCCGUCUCUGCUACCGGUGUACAUGUAAUACAGACGCAGCGUCACUGAGUAACCUGCACCAGAGUAAUAGCUGUGUAUAACACCUAAUCCAGCCGUCUCUGCUACCGGUGUACAUGUAAUACAGACGCAGCGUCACUGAGUAACCUGCACCAGAGUAAUAGCUGUGUAUAACACCUAAACCAGCCAUCUCUGCUACCGGUGUACAUGUAAUACAGACGCAGCAUCACUGAGUAACCUGCACCAGAGUAAUAGCUGUGUAUAACACCUAAUCCAGCCGUCUCUGCUACCGGUGUACAUGUAAUACAGACGCAGUGUCACUGAGUAACCUGCACCAGAGUAAUAGCUGUGUAUAACACCUAAUCCAGCCGUCUCUGCUACCGGUGUACAUGUAAUACAAACGCAGCAUCACUGAGUAACCUGCACCAGAGUAAUAGCUGUGUAUAACACCUAAUCCAGCCGUCUCUGCUACCGGUGUACAUGUAAUACAGAUGCAGCAUCACUGAGUAACCUGCACCAGAGUAAUAGCUGUGUAUAACACCUAAUCGAGCCGCCUCUGCUACUGGUGUACAUGUAAUACAGACGCAGCGUCACUGAGUAACCUGCACCAGAGUAAUAGCUGUGUAUAACACCUAAUCCAGCCGUCUCUGCUACCGGUGUACAUGUAAUACAGACGCAGUGUCACUGAGUAACCUGCGCCAGAGUAAUAGCUGUGUAUAACACCUAAUCCAGCCGUCUCUGCUACCGGUGUACAUGUAAUACAGACGCAGCGUCACUGAGUAACCUGCACCAGAGUAAUAGCUGUGUAUAACACCUAAUCCAGCCAUCUCUGCUACCGGUGUACAUGUAAUACAGACGCAGCGUCACUGAGUAACCUGCACCAGAGUAAUAGCUGUGUAUAACACCUAAUCCAGCCGUCUCUGCUACCGGUGUACAUGUAAUACAGACGCAGCGUCACUGAGUAACCUGCACCAGAGUAAUAGCUGUGUAUAACACCUAAUCCAGCCGUCUCUGCUACCGGUGUACAUGUAAUACAGACGCAGCGUCACUGAGUAACCUGCACCAGAGUAAUAGCUGUGUAUAACACCUAAUCCAGCCGUCUCUGCUACCGGUGUACAUGUAAUACAGACGCAGCAGCACUGAGUAACCUGCACCAGAGUAAUAGCUGUGUAUAACACCUAAUCCAGCCGUCUCUGCUACCGGUGUACAUGUAAUACAGAUGCAGCAUCACUGAGUAACCUGCACCAGAGUAAUAGCUGUGUAUAACACCUAAUCGAGCAGUCUCUGCUACCGGUGUACAUGUAAUACAGACGCAGCGUCACUGAGUAACCUGCACCAGAGUAAUAGCUGUGUAUAACACCUAAUCGAGCCAUCCUCUGCUACUGGUAGUAAGUGAUCAACUCUGAAUGACCCACAUGGUUUUGCCCACUAGAGAAAGAUUUUUCUUCUGCGAUUGGGUCUGAAUUGUCACCAGGCAUUUCACACCGCAUGAUGUAUUGAGGCUAGAUGUCAGAGGACACAUCUGUACACGUAAUACAGACGCAGCGUUACGGUGACACUACCUGCACAUUACAUCAGAGGAGCAGUCACAUGCUCUGUAUGACGGCAUCACGGCUGUCUCCAUAUGAUCCUGCAGCGUAGGCACAUUCUGUAUCUCAUGCUGUGAUGUCAUCCCAUUACAUAAGAGUCCCCUGAUGUUAUGUGUCUCCGAUACCUUGAUAUCUGCUGAUAGCUGUGAUCACUCGCUGAAGAUUUGUUGUUAUAAUGAAUAUGUAAAGCUGUUUCUUGUAAUAAAAUGAU
Molecule: RNA transcript, 9315 nt
Organism: Pseudophryne corroboree (corroboree frog)
Lineage: Eukaryota; Metazoa; Chordata; Amphibia; Anura; Myobatrachidae
Gene name: zinc finger protein 304-like
Exons: 5
Source: RefSeq, a predicted model, not a curated record